GCCGGGAUCGCAUAACCUGGUAGUGCGCAAGCCUGGAAAGCUUGUUUCCGCAAGGAUAUCUGGGUUCAAAUCCCAGUCCCGGCG
RNAcentral lists this transfer RNA (84 nucleotides) under Candidatus Woesearchaeota archaeon. RNAcentral's name for it is "tRNA-Ser". It matches the Rfam family "tRNA". Rfam says of the family: Transfer RNA (tRNA) molecules are approximately 80 nucleotides in length. Their secondary structure includes four short double-helical elements and three loops (D, anti-codon, and T loops). The record is from RNAcentral. Lineage: Archaea; Nanobdellati; Candidatus Woesearchaeota.